This 166-nucleotide unclassified non-coding RNA is filed under the name uncultured Xylariales. RNAcentral's name for it is "sequence contains ITS1". The record is from RNAcentral. Lineage: Eukaryota; Fungi; Ascomycota; Sordariomycetes; Xylariales.
CAGAGUUUAAAAACUCCCAAACCCAUGUGAACUUACCAUUGUUGCCUCGGCGGACCUACCCUGAAGGGACCUACCCUGAAAGGGGCCUACCCCAGGGUGGCCCGCCGGCGGAAUUUCAAACUAUUGUUAUUUUAAUGCAAUCUGAGCGUCUUAUUUUAAUAAGUCA